UUUGUUCGCUCUGUUCAUGAGUACUGCAUAUGGAAAAGAUAUCCUCGUUAUACUUGAUUAAAUCUAAACAAUGUGCAAGAGCAUAUGUCAAAACAAUUUUUAGCAGGCUUUCAAGCCUGCUCCUUCUCACGAAUUGCCUUAUAGCACUGGAGACUGCAAAGAGGAAGUUUUGUCUUAGAAUCACGAUACUUGUACGGAUUCACGCAGGAAGGACCAGCACAUUGCUCACGAGGGGGAGGAUAACUGCAAGGUUUAGAGUCAAAAAUAUGAGGUAAACCCAUAUCUUCAGGAAAUGUCACAACAGUGCCGGUAGGGCCCAUAACCACUCUGAUAGUGCUUUUUGCAAGCAUCUGCUCUUUGGCAGCCUUCUCCUGAGCCAACUCUUCCUGCCGCUUCUUUAUUUUAUCUUCUCGCUUCUUCCUGUUAGAAUCUUGACCUAGGAUUUUCCUAAUUGCCUCAGCCUCUGAUUCACGAGCAGCCUUCUCAUUUUGCAUUCUACGUUUCUGAGCAGCCUCUGCUUUCUUCAGUUGCUGCUCAACAUCAGUGAGCUUCUCCUUUUGCUUUCGAGGUGGAGCCGGUGGUAAACCAUUAGGGAACUCAAUCUGACUCGCAGAAGCAGCAGCAGAAGAAUCCUUGCUAGAUAGGAGAGCUCGUUGUCGUGUUGUAAGAGUCAUUUCUCCUCUCAUCGCAUCGAUCGAUGAAUCUGAGGAUUCCUUCCUUUGUUUCUGCUUCUUUUUUCCUUCAGCCUCACCAUCAGACACGAACUCUUCCACCUCAUAAGCAGUGUCCUCAGAACCUUGCUCAGAUUUCUUCCUUGACCUUCCCACAUUUUCAUCCUUUUCAAACUUGCUAACCUUUGAAACCCGGGAAACACUUCUUUUGUUGGUCGAUUCCUCCUCAAAAUCUUUAUAUCCUGAAAUCUUCGAGGUUUUAAGCUUUUCCAAGUAUCGAAUCUCAUCAUCUUCCCCAUCCUCAUCAAACCAUUCCGAUACACGCCUCUUUGGAACCCUCUUACUCUUACGGGUCGGAUCUGAUUUGUCACCUCCUUUUUCAAAGGCAUUCGUCAUUGGCAUCUUCCCCAUAUCGCCUCCUUUGCCAGCAGCAAAAGAACCCUUGGGCGAAUCUCUUGACAUAAUUCCUUGCAACCCACUUUUCUUUUCCGAAAGACCGUCUUUGCUUGAUGUGUCCUGUGAAGUAGAUUUCUGACGUGGCUGCGAACCAUCCAAGGCUCGUGCAUUUGUAGACAAACCACCACCAUAUGCACCAUGAGAAUCAGUUUUGGUUUGAAUGGUGCGCGUCACACCCCCAACUUUAAGCUUAACCUUCUUCAGCUUGUUAUCAUUGCCAACACCAUCCUGCACAGUUCCUGUUUGCCUAAGAGAGGAGCCAUACUGGGAAUAUGUAUCAUCUCCUGGAUCUCCAUUACUAUAUAACAGACUAGAUCCUCCAUCCUUAUUCUUCUUAAAAGUGUAGUCCUCAUCCACUCUGGAAACAGAGCCUCUAGACAUGCAAUGAUUAAGGUUGAACAUUUUACGUCCAGCAUUGGCAUCAUCAAUGUUCUCAUCACUAGAAACCCUACCAAAAUCAUCUGAAACUGGUGUUAAGGGAGACUGAUCACGGCCUUCAUGAAAAAAAGGCUUCUCUGGUCUAGGUCGCCGCAACAUUAGGCUUCUUUUCUUUCUAACAGUAGCAUUGAGCCCUUCAAAUCGAGUUCCACCAGACUCAUCCAUGACAUGUAAAACAACUAGGGCCACCAGGAACACGUGUAUUAAUCGCGGCAAAAAGACAACUUGCUAAAUGAGUUUGUUCAUUGUUGCACCAAACAGGAAACUUGAGAAUGGCAGAGAACCGAG
RNAcentral lists this unclassified non-coding RNA (1853 nucleotides) under Hevea brasiliensis (rubber tree). Lineage: Eukaryota; Viridiplantae; Streptophyta; Magnoliopsida; Malpighiales; Euphorbiaceae. The record is from RNAcentral.